GAUGAACGCUGGCGGCGUGCCUAAUACAUGCAAGUCGAGCGAACAGACGAGGAGCUUGCUCCUCUGACGUUAGCGGCGGACGGGUGAGUAACACGUGGAUAACCUACCUAUAAGACUGGGAUAACUUCGGGAAACCGGAGCUAAUACCGGAUAAUAUAUUGAACCGCAUGGUUCAAUAGUGAAAGACGGUUUUGCUGUCACUUAUAGAUGGAUCCGCGCCGCAUUAGCUAGUUGGUAAGGUAACGGCUUACCAAGGCAACGAUGAGUAGCCGACCUGAGAGGGUGAUCGGCCACACUGGAACUGAGACACGGUCCAGACUCCUACGGGAGGCAGCAGUAGGGAAUCUUCCGCAAGGGGCGAAAGCUUGACGGAGCAACGCCGCGUGAGUGAUGAAGGUCUUCGGAUCGUAAAACUCUGUUAUUAGGGAAGAACAAAUGUGUAAGUAACUAUGCACGUCUUGACGGUACCUAAUCAGAAAGCCACGGCUAACUACGUG
RNAcentral lists this ribosomal RNA (497 nucleotides) under uncultured bacterium. RNAcentral's name for it is "partial 16S ribosomal RNA". It matches the Rfam family "Bacterial small subunit ribosomal RNA", at positions 28 to 507 of the family's 1533-position model. The record is from RNAcentral.